Long non-coding RNA from Amphimedon queenslandica, 668 nucleotides. RefSeq lists it as uncharacterized. The transcript is spliced from 3 exons. The record is from RefSeq and is a predicted model, not a curated record. NCBI's taxonomy places the organism in Eukaryota, Metazoa, Porifera, Demospongiae, Haplosclerida, Niphatidae.
AAUGCUUCAAGCUUUGAAUUGCAUAGCAUGUUGUGUGUGUAUUUGUUUAUAGGCAAACUUUAUUGACUCCUGAAAAGUUCAGGACUUUGUCACAGUUCAAGUGUUUAAGAGCAGUAGCUGAACCAGGAGAACCUGUUGGACUACGAGCAGCACAAUCUAUUGGUGAACCUUCCACUCAGAUGACAUUGAAUACAUUUCAUUUUGCUGGUAGAGGAGAAAUGAACGUCACACUAGGGAUACCACGUCUAAGGUGAUGCACACUGCAGUGCUGCACACAAAUACAUGUAUAUGCUACAGUGAAUUAAAAAGAGAUAUUAAUGACUGGUGGUCCUAAUAUUAAAAUUCCAGCAAUGGAUGUACCACUACUACCACUGCCUGAUGCAAAGGAGCAAUGCGUCAUAAAAAUGAUAUCAAAAAAUCUUUUAAUUCAUUUUUGGAGAAUUUGUGAUUACUGUAGAUUAUUCUCAAUUUAAUAUUGUGUGCACACAAUGUUAGUUUUAGACAAUCUUCCUGACUUUAUGGUUUACUGUUAAUUAUUUAUCUGUGUGUAGUUUUUUGGUUAGUUAGUUCUGUGUGUCUGGUCUAUAUUGUUUUGCUGUAAAGUCUCUCUUUUCUCUCUCUCUCUUUAUCUUUUAUCCUCUGUAAUAAUACUUUUACUUCAGUUACAA